RNAcentral lists this ribosomal RNA (2758 nucleotides) under Klebsiella pneumoniae. RNAcentral's name for it is "bacterial LSU rRNA". It matches the Rfam family "Bacterial large subunit ribosomal RNA". The record is from RNAcentral. Lineage: Bacteria; Pseudomonadati; Pseudomonadota; Gammaproteobacteria; Enterobacterales; Enterobacteriaceae.
CACUAUCGUUAACUGAAUACAUAGGUUAACGAGGCGAACCGGGGGAACUGAAACAUCUAAGUACCCCGAGGAAAAGAAAUCAACCGAGAUUCCCCCAGUAGCGGCGAGCGAACGGGGAGCAGCCCAGAGUCUGAAUCAGCUUGUGUGUUAGUGGAACGGUCUGGAAAGUCCGACGGUACAGGGUGAUAGUCCCGUACACCAAAAUGCACAGGCUGUGAACUCGAAGAGUAGGGCGGGACACGUGGUAUCCUGUCUGAAUAUGGGGGGACCAUCCUCCAAGGCUAAAUACUCCUGACUGACCGAUAGUGAACCAGUACCGUGAGGGAAAGGCGAAAAGAACCCCGGCGAGGGGAGUGAAAAAGAACCUGAAACCGUGUACGUACAAGCAGUGGGAGCACCUUCGGGUGUGACUGCGUACCUUUUGUAUAAUGGGUCAGCGACUUAUAUUCUGUAGCAAGGUUAACCGUAUAGGGGAGCCGCAGGGAAACCGAGUCUUAACUGGGCGUUAAGUUGCAGGGUAUAGACCCGAAACCCGGUGAUCUAGCCAUGGGCAGGUUGAAGGUUGGGUAACACUAACUGGAGGACCGAACCGACUAAUGUUGAAAAAUUAGCGGAUGACUUGUGGCUGGGGGUGAAAGGCCAAUCAAACCGGGAGAUAGCUGGUUCUCCCCGAAAGCUAUUUAGGUAGCGCCUCGUGAACUCAUCUUCGGGGGUAGAGCACUGUUUCGGCUAGGGGGUCAUCCCGACUUACCAACCCGAUGCAAACUACGAAUACCGAAGAAUGUUAUCACGGGAGACACACGGCGGGUGCUAACGUCCGUCGUGAAGAGGGAAACAACCCAGACCGCCAGCUAAGGUCCCAAAGUCAUGGUUAAGUGGGAAACGAUGUGGGAAGGCACAGACAGCCAGGAUGUUGGCUUAGAAGCAGCCAUCAUUUAAAGAAAGCGUAAUAGCUCACUGGUCGAGUCGGCCUGCGCGGAAGAUGUAACGGGGCUAAACCAUGCACCGAAGCUGCGGCAGCGACACUAUGUGUUGUUGGGUAGGGGAGCGUUCUGUAAGCCUGCGAAGGUGUGCUGUGAGGCAUGCUGGAGGUAUCAGAAGUGCGAAUGCUGACAUAAGUAACGAUAAAGCGGGUGAAAAGCCCGCUCGCCGGAAGACCAAGGGUUCCUGUCCAACGUUAAUCGGGGCAGGGUGAGUCGACCCCUAAGGCGAGGCCGAAAGGCGUAGUCGAUGGGAAACAGGUUAAUAUUCCUGUACUUGGUGUUACUGCGAAGGGGGGACGGAGAAGGCUAUGUUAGCCGGGCGACGGUUGUCCCGGUUUAAGCAUGUAGGCUGAUUGUCCAGGCAAAUCCGGAUAAUCAAGGCUGAGGUGUGAUGACGAGGCACUACGGUGCUGAAGUAACAAAUGCCCUGCUUCCAGGAAAAGCCUCUAAGCAUCAGGUAACAUUAAAUCGUACCCCAAACCGACACAGGUGGUCAGGUAGAGAAUACCAAGGCGCUUGAGAGAACUCGGGUGAAGGAACUAGGCAAAAUGGUGCCGUAACUUCGGGAGAAGGCACGCUGGUGUGUAGGUGAAGUCCCUGCGGAUGGAGCUGAGACCAGUCGAAGAUACCAGCUGGCUGCAACUGUUUAUUAAAAACACAGCACUGUGCAAACACGAAAGUGGACGUAUACGGUGUGACGCCUGCCCGGUGCCGGAAGGUUAAUUGAUGGGGUUAUCCGUAAGGAGAAGCUCUUGAUCGAAGCCCCGGUAAACGGCGGCCGUAACUAUAACGGUCCUAAGGUAGCGAAAUUCCUUGUCGGGUAAGUUCCGACCUGCACGAAUGGCGUAAUGAUGGCCAGGCUGUCUCCACCCGAGACUCAGUGAAAUUGAACUCGCUGUGAAGAUGCAGUGUACCCGCGGCAAGACGGAAAGACCCCGUGAACCUUUACUAUAGCUUGACACUGAACAUUGAGCCUUGAUGUGUAGGAUAGGUGGGAGGCUUUGAAGCGUGGACGCCAGUCUGCGUGGAGCCAACCUUGAAAUACCACCCUUUAAUAUUUGAUGUUCUAACGUUGGCCCCUGACCGGGGUUGCGGACAGUGUCUGGUGGGUAGUUUGACUGGGGCGGUCUCCUCCCAAAGCGUAACGGAGGAGCACGAAGGUUAGCUAAUCCUGGUCGGACAUCAGGAGGUUAGUGCAAUGGCAUAAGCUAGCUUGACUGCGAGCGUGACGGCGCGAGCAGGUGCGAAAGCAGGUCAUAGUGAUCCGGUGGUUCUGAAUGGAAGGGCCAUCGCUCAACGGAUAAAAGGUACUCCGGGGAUAACAGGCUGAUACCGCCCAAGAGUUCAUAUCGACGGCGGUGUUUGGCACCUCGAUGUCGGCUCAUCACAUCCUGGGGCUGAAGUAGGUCCCAAGGGUAUGGCUGUUCGCCAUUUAAAGUGGUACGCGAGCUGGGUUUAGAACGUCGUGAGACAGUUCGGUCCCUAUCUGCCGUGGGCGCUGGAGAAUUGAGGGGGGCUGCUCCUAGUACGAGAGGACCGGAGUGGACGCAUCACUGGUGUUCGGGUUGUCAUGCCAAUGGCACUGCCCGGUAGCUAAAUGCGGAAGAGAUAAGUGCUGAAAGCAUCUAAGCACGAAACUUGCCCCGAGAUGAGUUCUCCCUGAGACUUUAAGUCUCCUGAAGGAACGUUGAAGACGACGACGUUGAUAGGCCGGGUGUGUAAGCGCAGCGAUGCGUUGAGCUAACCGGUACUAAUGAACCGUGAGGCUUAACCUU